AAGGCUGAGUUGAGUUGAGUUGAGGAAAAAUAGAUUAAAAAGGUUUGUAUGAAAUGCUAUUCGUGUAUUGAAUGUCUCUUGGAGAUUUCGCAGGACGUGGUCGUUGGAGGGGAAGGGGCCGUGGGCGUGGUCGUGGUUUCAGAUCAGAUGGCCCUACCCGUCAGGCAGGAGCUGCCUGAGCAGCAUAUAUGGGAAAAACUAUAAUGUAGGUCUGCAGUUUGAAAAUGAUACAUGGAUGGCUGCUCUGCUCGUGUUGUCGUGAAUUUGGUGAUAUUUAUGGGUACUGUCGUAAAUUUGAAGUAUGUGAAAGUGUUGCAACUAUGAUGCUUGCAGUUUUGUCUUCCUGUGGUCGUGUAGGAUUAUUUUUUAAGUUAUUGCUAAUCAGGUGUCUAGCAUACUGGCAGAGGUUGUACAUUUUUUCUCCUAGAUAGGAAUGAUAGAGCAGUACAUU
RNAcentral lists this unclassified non-coding RNA (451 nucleotides) under Hevea brasiliensis (rubber tree). The record is from RNAcentral. Lineage: Eukaryota; Viridiplantae; Streptophyta; Magnoliopsida; Malpighiales; Euphorbiaceae.